GGAAGGCUGUUAAAUAAUUGUUUAUGGGAAGAACAAUGUACAACAUUUUAGCUCUGCUAAUUAUCUAGAUCAAUGUAGAACUGGAGCCUCACUUUGGAACACUCCCAUAUUAUUCUGCAGGUUUAUUUUCAAACAACUCAAUGUUCCAGAGAUGAGAAGGGAAAAUUGUGAUACCACAGAGGCCUGGAUACCUGGGACAACAUCUUGCAUAAUGAAAAGUAUAAUUACAAACACAGUGGAAUGAUUUUCGUUUGACUCAAUUCCGGCAACAGUUAGAAAAAGAACAAAAUAUUGCAAAUUCUGGAAACCUGAAGUAAAACACAAAAAGCUGGAAAUAAACAGCAGAUGAAAACUGACCUACUGUAGCUGAGAGAAAAGGGAGCCAGGUGAUGGGGAGAGCAUAAGGUCAAGGAUAGCCUCAAGGUUUGGCAAUGACUUCCUGUGAACCUUCCUCCAGGCUGUAAGUGAACAGCAGGAGGUGCUCAUUCCUGCUGACAGGAAGAGGAGACCUCCCAGCCUGACCAAAGCAGCCUGGACAGAUGUUGCAGCAGAGGUGAGCAACUUUGGGUCAUCCAACGAACCUGGCUUCAGUACCGGAAAUCCCUCAAUGACCUUCUCAGAUCUGCAAGGGAAAAGAGGCACAAUGCCAAGAAGAGAAGCAAAACUGGAGGCGGUGUGUCAAACCUGGCCAAUUAAACUCUCAUCGAGGAGGAGGUGCUACAAUUGGCUGCCAAUGAGUGGAGCUGAGCUGUUGGUUGAGACAAGAUAGGAGGAAGACCCCAGGGUGGUGCAACAUUGGCUGCUGCUGCUGCCACUAGCUCCUGUGGUCCCACAUUGACCUAUGAGGAGGAAGAGGAAACCAGAGGGUGCAACAUCAUAGCCUUGCUCUGCACCCAGCAGCAGCAUAGAUACUUGCACUUCAAUGGGUAAUGGCAUCUCAGACAUACGGGAACCACAAACAGGUGAGGACGCAUCAUGGUGACACAUGCCGCUGCCGGAAACUGAGAUGGAGCAGACCUCUGGCAGUCAGAGGAGUGCUAGAGGCAAUCAAGAUUCUGAGCCCCAGUCUG
Molecule: long non-coding RNA, 1070 nt
Organism: Carcharodon carcharias (great white shark)
Lineage: Eukaryota; Metazoa; Chordata; Chondrichthyes; Lamniformes; Lamnidae
Exons: 5
Source: RefSeq, a predicted model, not a curated record